UUUAAAUGGUAAAUAAACUGUUACCGAUGCAUGUUCGUUCUGAUCAGUGAGACGGUACUGGUGCUAUGCAACUUAGCUGCAUGUAAAUUAUCUGAAACUCCUUCCCUCAAUAUAUAAAUCACACACCGUCGCUGUCAGAUGUCAUAGUGUUACGAACUUUGACUUGUUAACGAGUUAGAUAAUCCUAAAAUGCACAAAGGGAACAUGAGGACUCUGUUGAUAAUUGGUCUAACUUUGAUAGUAAUGGCGAACAAAGCAAGCAGAAGCUAGCAAAACGGAGCCACCAGCCGGAUCUAAUUCGUCUGUUUCAUCCCAAGAAAACUCUUGUGUGACCUACACUAGUGGACCGCUGCUAGUGACAGUUCUUGGCCUCGUGCCUUACAUGUUGGUGUUCGGAGAACGCCUUUUGUAACCUGGCUGUGACCACAUCUGGCAUUCUGAAAGCAGUCCCACAAUUAUAUCAAUUCUGCGUUACAUCAACAAAUAUCAGUGAUGAAUUGGUUCAGGGUUCGACCCCUAACAUUUUCAUACUUAGCUGAUUAUCAUUUUUAAGGGUUUAAAUUUCGAAGGAUUAUUAUGAAGGUAUGUUGUAUAUGAACAAAUAUGCCGAAUAUUCCAUGAAUAGUUCAAAGCAAUGACAAGAGAUAUGUUUUUAACUUGACUAUGUACUUCAUGGAUAUACGAAUUCGGAAGAUGUUUUCAAUUAACGCAAUGAUCAUAUCAAAUAUUUAAUAAACACCAGCACUUAUUUCAAUAUGAGUUGUAUUCCUACUUUUAAUUUUUGUUUUCUCUAUACAAUUUACAUUGUACGAAGUUUUCCAUUGGAUAAUUAGAUGUAAAUACAAGCAGUAAAUUUAGUUCAACAAUAUGAUGAAUGCUAAAGUCAUUGCAACGGAACUUUGAUGUGACUGCACAAUUAAAUGAAUUCAUGUGUUUAACACGGGGCAAUAAAACGUUGAACUUAA
This is a long non-coding RNA of Pecten maximus, 965 nucleotides long. RefSeq lists it as uncharacterized. NCBI's taxonomy places the organism in Eukaryota, Metazoa, Mollusca, Bivalvia, Pectinida, Pectinidae. The record is from RefSeq and is a predicted model, not a curated record. The transcript has 3 exons.